Molecule: ribosomal RNA, 554 nt
Filed under: uncultured Methanosarcina sp.
Lineage: Archaea; Methanobacteriati; Methanobacteriota; Methanomicrobia; Methanosarcinales; Methanosarcinaceae
Description: bacterial SSU rRNA
Rfam family: Archaeal small subunit ribosomal RNA
Source: RNAcentral
ACGGGGUGCAGCAGGCGCGAAAACUUUACAAUGCGGGAAACCGUGAUAAGGGGACACCGAGUGCCAGCAUCAUAUGCUGGCUGUCCGGAUGUGUAGAAUACAUCCGUUAGCAAGGGCCGGGCAAGACCGGUGCCAGCCGCCGCGGUAACACCGGCGGCCCGAGUGGUGAUCGUGAUUAUUGGGUCUAAAGGGUCCGUAGCCGGUUUGGUCAGUCCUCCGGGAAAUCUGAUAGCUCAACUAUUAGGCUUUCGGGGGAUACUGCCAGACUUGGAACCGGGAGAGGUAAGAGGUACUACAGGGGUAGGAGUGAAAUCUUGUAAUCCCUGUGGGACCACCUGUGGCGAAGGCGUCUUACCAGAACGGGUUCGACGGUGAGGGACGAAAGCUGGGGGCACGAACCGGAUUAGAUACCCGGGUAGUCCCAGCCGUAAACGAUGCUCGCUAGGUGUCAGGCAUGGCGCGACCGUGUCUGGUGCCGCAGGGAAGCCGUGAAGCGAGCCACCUGGGAAGUACGGCCGCAAGGCUGAAACUUAAAGGAAUUGGCGGGGGAGCAC